AGGUCUUGACAUCCUUUGACCACUCUAGAGAUAGAACCUUACCAAGGCUUGACAUGCAGGGUGAAACCCGUGAAAGCGGGUGCUCUUCGGAGCCUGCGCAGGUGGUGCAUGGCUGUCGUCAGCUCGUGCCGUGAGGUGUCGCCUUAAGUGGCGCAACGAGCGCAACCCCUGUCCUUAGUUGCCAGCGGAUCAUGCCGGGAACUCUAGGGAGACUGCCGGUGCCAAACCGGAGGAAGGUGGGGAUGACGUAGACGUCAUAACC
This 262-nucleotide unclassified non-coding RNA is filed under the name uncultured Actinomycetes bacterium. RNAcentral describes it as "uncultured actinobacterium contains 16S-23S intergenic spacer region". The stretch from base 34 to 262 matches the Rfam family "Bacterial small subunit ribosomal RNA", at positions 966 to 1200 of the family's 1533-position model. The record is from RNAcentral. Lineage: Bacteria; Bacillati; Actinomycetota; Actinomycetes.